RNAcentral lists this transfer RNA (75 nucleotides) under Roseofilum sp. SBFL. Its description in RNAcentral is "tRNA-Leu". It matches the Rfam family "tRNA". Rfam says of the family: Transfer RNA (tRNA) molecules are approximately 80 nucleotides in length. Their secondary structure includes four short double-helical elements and three loops (D, anti-codon, and T loops). Lineage: Bacteria; Bacillati; Cyanobacteriota; Cyanophyceae; Desertifilales; Desertifilaceae. RNAcentral also lists the same sequence under 3 other names. The record is from RNAcentral.
UACAUACUAGCCCAAUGGAAAAGGCGCUUGAUUUAGGCUCAAGAAAAUGCGGGUUCGAUUCCCGUGUAUGACCCA